This 301-nucleotide ribosomal RNA is filed under the name uncultured bacterium. RNAcentral's name for it is "partial 16S ribosomal RNA". It matches the Rfam family "Bacterial small subunit ribosomal RNA", at positions 509 to 807 of the family's 1533-position model. The record is from RNAcentral.
CAGCAGCCACGGUAAUACGGAGGAUCCAAGCGUUAUCCGGAUUUAUUGGGUUUAAAGGGUGCGUAGGUGGCCUGUUAAGUCAGGGGUGAAAGACGGUAGCUCAACUAUCGCAGUGCCCUUGAUACUGAUGGGCUUGAAUGAACUAGAGGUAGGCGGAAUGUGACAAGUAGCGGUGAAAUGCAUAGAUAUGUCACAGAACACCAAUUGCGAAGGCAGCUUACUAUGGUUUUAUUGACACUGAGGCACGAAAGCGUGGGGAUCAAACAGGAUUAGAUACCCGCGUAGUCCCUGUCUCUUAUAC